RNAcentral lists this long non-coding RNA (1141 nucleotides) under Phasianus colchicus (ring-necked pheasant). RNAcentral's name for it is "lncRNA (ENSPCLG00000014631.1)". The record is from RNAcentral. Lineage: Eukaryota; Metazoa; Chordata; Aves; Galliformes; Phasianidae.
AUGACUUUCUGGAAAAACACCAUUUUGUGCAGAGACUUAACUGAGAAUCUGCUGCAUCACCCAGAAGCACAAAGCAGCUCCCAGGAUAAAACCCGUCAGGAGAGGAAAGCAGAAGAUGAAACAGAUGAGGCAGAUGUGGAACAGCAGCAGCGGGAUAACAGGCAGCUUCCUUUGGGAUAUUUCCUUCCCAGUAUCCUAAAUACAAGAGGUGAGAGGGUAAGCAGGAAUCCUGUAUCCCAUGCACAGUGAGUCUGGUUAAGCAGAGACCCAGCAAGCUCAGGAACACCGAUCAUGGAGUCUUCUGCUACCACUCUGUGUAUCACAGUGGGACAACACAGCUUUGCCUAUAGCCAAAAGUUGUGCUGUGUGUGUGCUUGUGCUGGGGAGCAGCACCCAGAAUCUCCUUCCUUUAUCUCCACCUGCAGGCGGCCACAGCACAGGCUGUGCCUGCCAGCACGGCCAAGGAAAACUAAAUUGCACCAGCUGUCUACAGCCGGUCACAAAAAGUGUGCUUGAUGGUACUGUAAUCGCAUUUACUCACCUAAUUAGUGGUGAAAGGAGAAGUGCCAUGCCAAGAAGAGAAGUCUGAUUAAGGGUGCCUGGUGAGAGCAGCUGUAGGGGUGUAUGGGAACUGCUGAAUGACGGCCUGAACCUCUGAUUGAUCACCUGAGGCGAGCAGUGAGUCAGCCACAGGAGCACAGGUGAAGGCAAUUCAGCUGUGCUGCACCUCUCCUAGAGCCAUUUAAGAGCUGAGUUCCAGUGGAGAAGGGUCUCUUCUGGAGAUCUGCUCUGCUGGAGUUUCAUAGUGAGCUCAGGAUAGGGGUAAGCAUUCUCUCUAUUCUGCUUUGGUGUAAUAACUGCAUAGCCAAACUCUGCUAUAUUUCAUAACUAUAACAUCUGUAUGUUCAUUGAUUAUACAAGGGGUAACAAAAAGCAGCCCCAGCUUUAGGGGAGGUCAGGACGUGUUACUGGUGGGAUGUUUUAAGAGUAGGUCCUGUAACCCCUUAUCUUUAAUUUACUCACUGAUCUGAAAGCAUAGAUGGCUAAAAGAGCUUUGAACACAGCAAAAUGCACAUUUCCAAAGUCAGUUUUUAAAAUGUAGGUAAUGCUUUUUUUAAUGUUUACUGGUGCAGCUGUGCAG